GUAGGGAAUCUUCCACAAUGGACGAAAGUCUGAUGGAGCAACGCCGCGUGAGUGAAGAAGGUCUUCGGAUCGUAAAACUCUGUUGUUAGAGAAGAACGUGCAUGAUAGUAACUGAUCAUGUAAUGACGGUAUCUAACCAGAAAGCCACGGCUAACUACGUGCCAGCAGCCGCGGUAAUACGUAGGUGGCAAGCGUUGUCCGGAUUUAUUGGGCGUAAAGGGAACGCAGGCGGUUUUUAAGUCUGAUGUGAAAGCCUUCGGCUUAACCGAAGAAUAGCAUUGGAAACUGGAAGACUUGAGUGCAGAAGAGGAGAGUGGAAUUCCAUGUGUAGCGGUGAAAUGCGUAGAUAUUAGGAAGAACACCAGUGGCGAAGGCGACUUUCUGGACGAAAACUGACGCUGAGGCUCGAAAGCCAGGGGAGCGAACGGGAUUAGAAACCCGGGUAGUCC
RNAcentral lists this ribosomal RNA (449 nucleotides) under uncultured bacterium. RNAcentral's name for it is "partial 16S ribosomal RNA". It matches the Rfam family "Bacterial small subunit ribosomal RNA", at positions 354 to 796 of the family's 1533-position model. The record is from RNAcentral.